This 318-nucleotide unclassified non-coding RNA is filed under the name fungal sp. RNAcentral describes it as "partial internal transcribed spacer region". The stretch from base 1 to 46 matches the Rfam family "Eukaryotic small subunit ribosomal RNA", at positions 1786 to 1831 of the family's 1831-position model. The record is from RNAcentral. Lineage: Eukaryota; Fungi.
AAGUCGUAACAAGGUUUCCGUAGGUGAACCUGCGGAAGGAUCAUUAACAAUGCUAUCAUAGCAAAUUCCACCUUUUGUGCAUGUGUUAACGUCAAUUGGCAGGCUUCGGUAUGGAAAAGUUUGUCCCCAGUGGCUCUUUUCCCUACCGACCUUGAUUCGGACCGGCUUGAGAAAUAGUCCGUCUGGAAAGAGGCGGCCUGCUAUUUUUUUUUAACAAACAUUAUUGUCGCAAGACAAACUUGCCUUACAAAUCUUAUUUCUUCGUGAAAUAAUAAUUGUAACCAAAUACAACUUUUAACAACGGAUCUCUUGGCUCUC